Molecule: long non-coding RNA, 500 nt
Organism: Cloeon dipterum
Lineage: Eukaryota; Metazoa; Arthropoda; Insecta; Ephemeroptera; Baetidae
Exons: 3
Source: RefSeq, a predicted model, not a curated record
CGACCGGAGCAUGCGGAGACCGCGAACCGCGCGAGUGCUAUGAGGAAAAGCCGUUGGAUGUCGGCUCGUCAAAUUUUGCCAAUUUUCGGCCGAAUUUUCGCCCUCGAGUCGACCAGCAAGAAGCCAAGGAUGUAGGACAAGCUGUUUUAUCCGCAAAUAACCCCAGACCCGUGCCCGCGGCUUGCGUGACAACAAUGCAACUCGUGUUAUGCUGCUUAGAGGAUGAUACUAACGCCCUGAAACUUGCGACCCCUGGCCCUGGCAUUGUGAUAUUUUCUGGUCUGAAGGAGGUGACAUGCCAGGAGUCCAACCCGCCAAACCCUCGCUCCCUAACCUGAGCCACCCCCGACCCCCGUCAAAGCUGCUUGCCAGGUGGCCGCGCCGACAGCAGUCUAAGGUCGUGUUCGCUCCUAUGUAAAAGGUUCUCAAAGAAAAAUUUCCUCCUGUUGUCAAUAUUAUGUGUAAACGUUUUUAUGAAUUAUUAAACUUAGCACCUUGAA